Molecule: long non-coding RNA, 4473 nt
Organism: Chinchilla lanigera (long-tailed chinchilla)
Lineage: Eukaryota; Metazoa; Chordata; Mammalia; Rodentia; Chinchillidae
Exons: 9
Source: RefSeq, a predicted model, not a curated record
ACUCACUAUGUAGCCCAGGCUCCCCCUACCUCAGCCUCCCAAGUGCUGGGAUUACAGGACUGUGCCAUUAUGCCCAGCUACUUAAAUAUCUUGAUAAAAUUCAUCCAUGUUGCCACAGGAUUUUAAUCAUAUGACAGCAAAAUACUCCUUUGUUCUACAAACUCCCUAUUUCUUGUAUCCAUCUCUUUUGAUGAAUGCCUCAGCUGUAGUAAACAGUGGAGAUGUCUUUUUGAUACACUGAUUUCAUUUUUGUUCAGUAUGGUUUUAGUAGUAGUUUCUAAUAGCUGAGAAAAAGGGGAAUACUGUUACAAUUGACUGUUUUUACUUAGAAACUUUGUAAAGUUAGCCACUUCAUGAGAUUUGUCCAAGUUUGCAGGCAAUGAAGAAUGUGGAUAUAGCUCCUUCAAUCAGCUAAUUCUGGUGAUCUGCAGCUGAGGAACAAACAAAAACUGCAAAUAAUGACUUUCUUUGACUUGAAACUGAAGAUAAGAAAUCAAGGGGAAGGUUAAAAAAAUCGUGCCUUAACAAUUUUUCUGUUAAUGUGUUAGAUUAAUUAAUUUGUAAGUGGACUUUAUAUUAAUUUGUAUUUUCCAAUGUGUAACCCUCUUUAGUGAGCUUGGCUGGACGUCUAAUUUAAAUUUUAACUAGAUUGGUGAUUUAUUGCUACUGAGGGUAUACUGGCCCUAAGUAAUGUCAAGGGUAAACAUUAGAUAACGUGCAUUAGAAAUUCUUGAAGCAAUAGUGAUAUCUACAUAAAAAUCAGAUUAAGUAAAACAUUUCAUUUGACUGAGAUAAUUACAUGGAAAAUCUGGUUUAAAAGGCUGAAGUUUUGAUAUUCUUUAUUCAGAGAACAAAAUGAUGAAAGGAUCACCAGGUACAUUGGUGUCCUUUCUUACUGCUCUGUCUCCAAAACCUUGCCUAAUAACUGACACCUAGCAUGUGCUUGAUGAAUAGUCAGCUUUUCUUGCAUUGGCAUAUUGUUAUCAAAACUAGUGAUACAAUUAACAUGAAUAAACACUGGGUACAAGAACUCUCACUGUAGUAAAUUAGAAGAUAAAUUUGGGGUCCAAUGUUACCCUUGAUUUAUUUUUAUUCCUCAUUCGUUGGGGGUUAUUCACCAAACAAGGCCAUUUUAUUAUAUUGUAUCACUUGAAACAUAGAUUUUAGGGAGAAUUAAUUUGUUUUAAACUACAGUUAUAUAUUUUGUCAGUUAUAAGUACAAUGCAUUAGCAGGUUUUGGAUGGUGUUUGGUUACAAAGGAAAAAAAAAGGAUCCUUAAAAGUUGGAUGCCCCACUUGCUUCAGGCUAGCUCACUAGAGAAUAAACCUAGGUCAUGAAAACAAAAUCAGCUGGUUUACUUGACCUUUUCUUUUGUGAUAAAUUCUGAGAUGUUAAGAGGGUAUUGCUAUCGGAAGGGGUAAAACAAUUUACAUUUUUCUGGAUAAGAGUAAUUGUACAAAAACAAGUGAAUCUAGCAUUCUUUGAACUGGAAAAUAUUGGGUUAAUCUUGUGAUUAUUGUAGUGAUUAUAUGACAUGAAUAUGAUCUACAUCUCAAUCAGAAGAAAAGAUUGAAAAAUUAUUUCUGAAAUGGAAAAAUAUGGACAGAUAAGUAAAUUAAUAAUGUAAAAUAUCAUCAUGGACUCAUUUACAUACAGAAAACACUUACUCUAAAUAUAACAUUGUGCUGUGAAUUCUAAAGGGAUUAAAACAAUUUUGCCAGCUAAGAGAAGAAAGAACUUUCUGUCAUACUUGUCCUAUAAUGGAGCCUAGAACGAGAUGGAUGCAGACAUUUCUCCUAGAAACAGCAGGCACUCUUCAUGCUCUGGAAGUGACUGUUCUUGUACCAUGUCUACAUCUGAAAAACAGGUCAUCUUUCAAGUGUAUUCACCAACUUUCAACCAGUUCGCUUGCUUUUAGCUUCAGGUACUUUCAUCCAUGCAUCUUGUAGAACAUCUUUUAAGAAGAUGAUAAACAUCAUGAGUUUCUCUUCACAGCUCUGAAGGAUGCUCUAAGUAUACAGUUCUCUAAUGUGGAGUUAAGACAGUAUAUGUGCAAGUGCGGUAUACAUAGUCAAAGGACUUUACAUUCAAUUUUGAUGUCAAAAGAUUGUUUGUGAUAAAAUUGAAGAAGACAUGUACAGAGUGUGCAACUCAAGAAAAUUGUGCAGCCGAGUCGUACAGUGCAACAAAGAGUACUGGAUUACCUGAGGAAAGAAAGGUGAAUUUCAGGUGAUGAAGAUGACAGACAUUUGAAGCUAAACUGAGUACAGCUUGUGAUAUCAUCAGUGACCUCUCCUGUUGGUGUCCCUUAAUUUAUCGGUCUUAACUACGAACCAGAGAAAUUUCUAAAAACAUCCUGGAGAGCCCCUUAUGUGCUACCUUAGCUGUUUCAUGUGAGUGGUGAUUACUGAGAAGGGGCCCUUGCCAUUGCUGCUACCGAUCACUUCAUCAGAGUCUUCAUAAUUCUCAGAGACUUCCCACGGUAACAUGUUGCCAUUGAUGGUCAUUGCUGCAGAGAAAAAUUGGACUGAACUCUACUCUUUGGAAAGACCUAAAAGUUGUCAUUGCAGAGUAUAUUUACUGGUCAUAGGAAUGAUUUUUAUUGUUGAGGAUGGACUCAAUCUUAGGAGUGAGAAUGGUGUCUAUAUUACUACAGAAAGAAGUUUGACGUGAUGGAAUUCAAGGGCUUCAUCUCAACGCUUCCAUAAGUUGAUACAGUUCUUUUUCAAGUGAGAAAAAUGCAGCUUUAAUUUUACUCGCAUGAAAUGUAAUAAAUAAUAGUGAGAAUAGAGUGCUUUAAAUUUGAGUCUUCCUAUCCAAACAAGCUUCUUUUACAAGCCAAGGACCAAAAAGAUCUUUCUUCGAGGUGGCGCACGUGUUCAGAAGUGCAGUAUCUAUAUAUAUAUGUGUAUAUGUGUGUAUACCUUCUGCACUGGUUUCAUCCACAGCAUCACCCAAAUAUUUCAUUAUGCCUCCUAUCUGGGACCUUUUUGCUGUCACAACUUUUAUAGAAGCAUGCCAGGAAUAGAAGUGACCUGCUUUUUGGCAAACGAUUGCCUGGAAUACUCAGUACUUGUCUCUGUUCUAAAUAUGUCUUUAUUUCUAUCUCUUGUGAUACAUUAAAAUUGUAUUUUUAUUUUGCAAUUGAAAGACAGUUGUUUGUGUGUGGGAAUUGUAAUUAAUGUGACCCCAUGGACAAUUAAAUUAUGUCGUGUGUUAUAGGUAGGCUUUCUCACUAGCUCAGUGCCUUCUGUAUGCCAGUUGUAUUUCCAUUUGUAUGGUACUUUCCUACACAUUUACAUUAGAAACACAGCUUUUAGGAAGCUGUUAAACUUAAUCUGAGGACCUUGAUUUAUCUAGCCUAGAUUGUAUUUGCCCUUCUGGUGAUUUUUGUGGGUUGGAGUCUGGGUUAGGAUCUGAGAUUGACUGCCAUUCUACUCUGCAGUGCUGAAGGCUAAGAUGUGUUGUAUGAGCAGUGCAGCUUUAGGGGAAAGCUAGGUCUUUGCACUGAUGUGUAGAGCUUGGUGGUAUGAUUUUGUACAGCAUGCGGUGCCAUCAUUCUUAUGAGUACUAUAAUGUGUUCAUUUUUUGAGGUUGGAAUAAAAAGCAGCAGUGUACUAAAGAGAUUUUAGUAUAUAACAUAUUAACUUGAUUUCUUUUUUCUUAUUUUUUUUCCCUUAACCUAAGUGAGGGUAAUAUAAAUAUGCUUAUAUUAAAUUUUAUUAAAUUUUAAUUGUCUACUUCUGGAUCAUAAAUUGCACUUUCCAUUACAGAACUAAGUACAUUGCCCAGUGUAUCUUAAUAGACUGGUUUGUACAAUGGAUUCAUCCAAAAAUACCACCUCUUGUGCCAGUCUUAGAAAUACAAACAAGAUUUUAAGAUAUAUGAUAAUCCUUUAACUUGAAAGGCUGUGGUUGCACAAAUUUUAUAAAUGUGUGGGGAUCCCUUGUCUCCUUUCUCAUUAUAUUAUUUUGUUCUGCUAGCCUGUAUUCCGAGGGAUGAUUCCAUUUCUUUUAUAAUAUUUAUUUUACAUGCAGUGAAGUUAUUUUGUAAUGUCAGUAUUUCCAUUGUUUCUUAUGUUCAUGUUUUUCAAGAUCAAGCGUCAUAAUCAAAUGCCUUCAAGUUGCAUGAAAUGGAAAGUAGUAGCCAGCAAUACCUUAUUUUAUAUUCUAUGUUGUGCUUCUGCACUUGUUAACAUUGCAGCUAAGCAGAUGGGUUAUUGUAGUGUGAAAGCAGAUCUGACCAGUUAAUAAAUGGAUGUGUAUUAUGUGUUACAAUGAAACUUAACCAAGGGAAAGGAGCAGGUAAUGGGCCAGCUUUAAGCCCACAGGCUAUAGUUUCAUGACUCUUGACCUAAAAUGCGCAUUUAGGUUUAUGUUGAUAAGUGCCUAGACUUAGAAAGCAGAGGAAAAAGAAAAUCAUUCCUUUGUCAGUUUUAUGAAUCUUAAACAUUAAUAAAAUUGGAGUUAAAAU